UACAGAGGGUGCAAGCGUUAAUCGGAAUUACUGGGCGUAAAGCGUGCGUAGACGGUUACAUAAGUCGGGUGUGAAAGCCCCGGGCUCAACCUGGGAAUUGCAUUCGAGACUGCGUAGCUAGGGUGCGGAAGAGGGAAGCGGAAUUUCCGGUGUAGCGGUGAAAUGCGUAGAUAUCAGGAAGAACACCCGUGGCGAAGGCGGCUCUCUAGUACGGUACUGACGCUGAGACGCGAAAGCGUGGGGAGCGAACAGG
RNAcentral lists this ribosomal RNA (253 nucleotides) under uncultured bacterium. RNAcentral's name for it is "partial 16S ribosomal RNA". It matches the Rfam family "Bacterial small subunit ribosomal RNA", at positions 524 to 776 of the family's 1533-position model. The record is from RNAcentral.